Molecule: ribosomal RNA, 409 nt
Filed under: uncultured rumen bacterium
Lineage: Bacteria
Description: bacterial SSU rRNA
Rfam family: Bacterial small subunit ribosomal RNA
Source: RNAcentral
CAGCAGCCGCGGUAAUAUGUAGGGGGCAAGCGUUGUCCGGAAUGAUUGGGCGUAAAGGGCGCGUAGGCGGCCUUAUAAGUCUGGAGUGAAAGUCCUGUCUUCAAGAUGGGAAUUGCUUUGGAUACUGUAGGGCUUGAGUGCAGGAGAGGUAAGUGGAAUUCCCAGUGUAGCGGUGAAAUGCGUAGAGAUUGGGAGGAACACCAGUGGCGAAGGCGACUUACUGGACUGUAACUGACGCUGAGGCGCGAAAGUGUGGGGAGCAAACAGGAUUAGAUACCCUGGUAGUCCACACUGUAAACGAUGAAUGCUAGGUGUAGGGGGUAUCGACCCCUUCUGUGCCGCAGUUAACACAAUAAGCAUCCCGCCUGGGGAGUACGGCCGCAAGGUUGAAACUCAAAUAAAUUGACGG